AAUAAAGUUUAACCUGCCCAAAUAAAGUUUAACCUGCCCACUGAUAAAUUUAAAUGGCCGCAGUAUAUUUCUUAAUCCAACAUCGAGGUAGCAUAUUCAUUAGUCUUUUAAUUGAAGGCUGGAAUGAAUUGUUGGACGAGAUAUUUACUGUUUGUUACAAAUUUAGUUAUUUUAUUAAUAAAUUUUUUAGUAAAAAAACUAAAAUAAUGUGAAAAAACGAGAAAAACCUAUGAUUUUUAAUAUAAAAUUAAUUUUAAUAUAUUAGAAAUUAAAUUUUAUUAUUUAAAUUAAUAUAUUUAUUGGGGUGAUAUUAAAAUUUAAAAAAAUUUUAAUAUAAAGAACAUUAAUUUAUGAAUUAUUGUUCCAAUUCUAUUGAUUAUUAGAAUAAGUUACUAAGGGGGAUUACAGCGUAAUAUUUUGGAGUGUUCUUUUUCUUUCCACAUUUAUCGCCCUCGACGAUAAUUGAGAAAUUAAUUUAGGUGUAGAAGCUUAAAAAUUAAGCUACCUUUGCACAGUUAAUAAUUUUGAUCAGUGCGGCC
RNAcentral lists this ribosomal RNA (539 nucleotides) under Lipoptena fortisetosa. RNAcentral's name for it is "partial large subunit ribosomal RNA". The record is from RNAcentral. Lineage: Eukaryota; Metazoa; Arthropoda; Insecta; Diptera; Hippoboscidae.